Long non-coding RNA from Malaya genurostris, 1106 nucleotides. RefSeq lists it as uncharacterized. The transcript is spliced from 2 exons. Lineage: Eukaryota; Metazoa; Arthropoda; Insecta; Diptera; Culicidae. The record is from RefSeq and is a predicted model, not a curated record.
UCAAUUACAAUGAUGAAGCUCUACUUUACUUGAAAAUCAUUCCGAAGUGAAGUCGAUGAUCGGCGGACAAAUUUGUUAGAGUUGGAACUAAUUGAUUUCCUCAUUCGUCAACUAACAAUCUCAUCUUAUUUGUCUAUUUGUCUAUUAUUACCUAAUUAACUCUGACUAGAAGAGCACAUCAAACUUGUAACAUGUUAACAUAACUGGCAAUGUAACGAUCAUCAUAAUGCAUAUUGCCCUUCAAGCAAAAACUUAUAUUCAGCCGACCGAACUCAUCAUGCAAUCUUGCCAUAGCCAGUUUUUUUCCACCCUACCCUACAACAGAUCGUUUCGAUCUAACUCCUGCUAAAUAUAUCCAGUCACACUUGUCAAUCGUUCGGAUUUUCGAUUGCACACGAACAGUUGGCUCAUUUUUACGAACGAACAUAAUCGCUUCCGAUGAUGUUCGCUGGCACUCUUUAACUCAUGCAUUGGCAAUUGGGUUCGUGUUUCAAAAUUUUGCGAUUUUCAAUUCUUUCAUUCUCCGCCAUCGCACGCAGUAUGAUACCGAACGAGUUUGAGUGACUCUGUUAUGUAUUAUUGAGUACGCAAUGGAACGAUGAUGCAUAGUGAAAGAUGAUCGUGUGUAUUCAGGGUGAUGAUUGAUUUUUUCCGUCCUUGGAAAAUAGCAAUCAACAGGGACAUGGAUUUGUAAAUAUUCAGACGAUGUCGGCAAGCACCAUGUUAAACGAGAUAUAUUUAUUUUGGUACCGAUGACUUGUAAAAUCUAACCCAUAUAUAGAAGCAAAGAAUUAUUUCGAAUAUAUAUACAAAGACUAAUUUACCCACCUUUUCAGAUAAUAUUUUAAAUGUAUGCGCCAUUAGUUGAAAUACAAAAUAAAUUCUGUAAACUAUAUUAGAGAAAUUCAGCAGCUGGAAGAUUUAUAUGGGAGAUCUGUAACCUGUAACUGAAACUGUUGUUGUUUGUUAUGAGUAAAUUCAGCAUCUGCCACAAGGCCCACAAGCAGUGCUGUCAACUGUUUUUUUCCAAAAAUCUGUAUUUGGCGGAAAAAUCUAUCUGUACACGCAGAGAAAAAAAUUGUAAAUAUAACCAAAUUUGGGUUUCA